Molecule: transfer RNA, 75 nt
Filed under: Bacilli bacterium
Lineage: Bacteria; Bacillati; Bacillota; Bacilli
Description: tRNA-Leu
Rfam family: tRNA
About the family: Transfer RNA (tRNA) molecules are approximately 80 nucleotides in length. Their secondary structure includes four short double-helical elements and three loops (D, anti-codon, and T loops).
Source: RNAcentral
GCAAGCGUGAAGGUAAUUGGCAAACCUAAGUGUCUUAGAAACACUUGUCUGUGGGUUCGACUCCCACCGCUUGUA